This 289-nucleotide long non-coding RNA is filed under the name Coffea arabica (coffee). Its description in RNAcentral is "long non-coding RNA (CARA_LNC000002)". The record is from RNAcentral. Lineage: Eukaryota; Viridiplantae; Streptophyta; Magnoliopsida; Gentianales; Rubiaceae.
AGCUUCUUGGAUCAAAGAGGUUAAUUUUGGCAGCCUUGAAACCUGAAAUAAACCUUCAACCGUGUUCUUGUUUUCAUGGAACUUUGAUCUUGAAACCAAAUCUGUCCAAGUUGUUUACGUUAAUUGCUGUGAAAUUGUGGUCUAAACUAGCUGGCUAUUGUGUGAAAACACCCCAACAGAAGUCAAAAAAAAAAAAUUUCAAGAAAGACGGCUCUAGUUUCCAAUUCUUGACCAGCCUUCAAGUUUUACCAAAUCUGAUUCAAAGGUCAAAAAAAAAGAUUUUCAAGAA